UUACUUAAAUUGCUGGUUUUAUUAUAAAAUCCACUCUAGAUCUUCAGGCUUUUGUAUCUGGUAGCCUGAAAUCCAUAAACACUGCACCUUUUGCCUGAUCAUUUGAUGAAUAUGAAUUUACUGCUCCACAAACGCGAAUAUAAUCCAUUUUCUGAUACUGAUCUCUGGCAUUUCUCAUUCCUUUCCUCAAUGGAAAGCUGAUUAGCCACACUGCUGCAAGUCCUGACACCUGUGUACUUUUAAUUCUUCAAAACACCAGAAGCAGCCUACUUUCCCUACUCUUUGACUCCCCAAAUCUCAUGUCGUUCCUCUAGCCCCCUUUGACACCAAACAUGAGACGGUGAAUUAGAAACCUCACUUCAGAGCUCAGAAUGACCCAAUACUUUUGAUCACCCGGCCUUCACCAGCCUGUACAGAGGCUGCAAGGUAGUUUGAACUCUGCUUACUCCUGUCUAUUCCCUUCCACAGUACUUCCUCUUUUCCAAAAUUCCUCUGAGCUUUCCCUGGGAUCUCUCUUCCUCCCUGUAGUUUUUCAAACUAUCUCAUCUUUUGGAGCAUUGGCAACACUGAAGCCUCAAGGCCCUUUUUCAGGAGAGAGGCAGCCAUCGCGAGAGGCCUAGAAGGGGUAGCUGAAGAGACACCCCUUGCCUCUGCAUGUUGGAGAAAGGCGAAAAUGCCAUAAAAUGAGGAAGCCUGGUGAAAGCAGAGCCAUUUCAUAGAAUCAACCAGGUUGGAAAAGACCUUUAAGAUCAUCAAGUCCAACCUUUACCCUAGGUCUGCCAAGUCCACCAUAAACCAUGUCACUAAGGGCCUCAUCUACAUGUUUUCUGAACACUUCCAAGGACGGCGAUUCCACCACUGCCCUGGGCAGCCAGUUCCAAUGCCUGACUAUGCUUUUGGUGAAGAAAUUUUUCUUAAUAUCCAAUCUAAACCUCCCAUGGCACAGCUUGAGGCCAUUUCCUCUUGUGCUAUCACCUGUAACUUGGGAGAUCAGCCACCUCCUCUCUCCAUCCUCCUUUCAGGCAGUUGUAGAGAGUGAUGAUUCCCCCUGAGCCUUCUCUUCUCCAGACUAAACAACCCCCAGUUCCCUCAGCCAUUCCUCAUCAGAUUUGUGCUCUAAGUCCCUCACCAGCUUCGUUGCCCUUCUCUCAGCAACCUAAUACAGCUCUUGUAGUGACCGGUCCAGAAGUGAACCCAGCAUUCGAGGUGCGGCCACACCAGUGACGAGUUCAGAGGGACGAUCACUACCCUGGCCCUGCUGGCCCCCACACCGGGCUCUUUAAGCGUUUUCUUAACCGGGCCCGAGUGUCCUCCUCCGCCCUCCUGCGGUGCUGCCGCUCCGCCCCCCGCGGCCGGCCCCGACCCCCAGCCGCGCAGUCCUUCCCCACUUGCCCUCAGGAGACCCGCGGGCACAC
RNAcentral lists this long non-coding RNA (1415 nucleotides) under Strigops habroptila (Kakapo). RNAcentral's name for it is "lncRNA (ENSSHBG00005004107.1)". Lineage: Eukaryota; Metazoa; Chordata; Aves; Psittaciformes; Psittacidae. The record is from RNAcentral.